RNAcentral lists this ribosomal RNA (796 nucleotides) under Anisakis sp. VOC2Jnem1. RNAcentral's name for it is "SSU rRNA". It matches the Rfam family "Eukaryotic small subunit ribosomal RNA", at positions 203 to 1003 of the family's 1831-position model. The record is from RNAcentral. Lineage: Eukaryota; Metazoa; Nematoda; Chromadorea; Rhabditida; Anisakidae. RNAcentral also lists the same sequence under 1 other name.
GCAUCUAUUAGAUUAAAACCAAUCGGGUUUCGGCCCGUCAAUUGGUGACUCUGAAUAACUAUGGCUGAUCGCAUGGUCUUGAACCGGCGACGUGUCUAUCAAGUGUCUGCCUUAUCAACUGUCGAUGGUAGUUUAUGUGCCUACCAUGGUUGUAACGGGUAACGGAGAAUAAGGGUUCGACUCCGGAGAGGGAGCCUGAGAAACGGCUACCACAUCCAAGGAAGGCAGCAGGCGCGCAAAUUACCCACUCUCGGCAUGAGGAGGUAGUGACGAAAAAUAACGAGACCGUUCUCUCUGAGGCCGGUUAUCGGAAUGGGUACAAUUUAAACCCGUUAACGAGGAUCUAUGAGAGGGCAAGUCUGGUGCCAGCAGCCGCGGUAAUUCCAGCUCUCAAAGUGUAUAUCGUCAUUGCUGCGGUUAAAAAGCUCGUAGUUGGAUCUGCGCCUCAGGACUUGGUCCGCCCACUGGGCGAGAACUGGGCUCCUGGGCUAGUACUGCUGGUUUUCCCUACGUUGCCUUCAUCGGUCGCGUAGGGUGGCUAGCGAGUUUACUUUGAAAAAAUUAGAGUGCUUCACGCGGGCUUAUGUCUGAAUACUCGUGCAUGGAAUAAUAGAAUAGGAUCUCGGUUCUAUUUUGUUGGUUUUCUGAUCUGAGAUAAUGGUUAAGAGGGACGGACGGGGGCAUUCGUAUCGCUGCGUGAGAGGUGAAAUUCUUGGACCGUAGCGAGACGUCCGACUGCGAAAGCAUUUGCCAAGAAUGUCUUCAUUAAUCAAGAACGAAAGUCAGAGGUUCGAAG